ACGAGUUUGAUCAUGGCUCAGAGUGAACGCUGGCGGCAGGCCUAACACAUGCAAGUCGAACGGCAGCACGGCAGUAGCAAUACUGUGGGUGGCGAGUGGCGGACGGGUGAGGAAUACAUCGGGAUCUACCCUGUUGUGGGGGAUAACGUAGGGAAACUUACGCUAAUACCGCAUAAGAACUGAGGUUGAAAGCGGCGGACCGCAAGGCGUCGCGCGAUUGGAUGAACCGAUGUCCGAUUAGCUAGUUGGCGGGGUAAAGGCCCACCAAGGCGACGAUCGGUAGCUGGUCUGAGAGGACGACCAGCCACACUGGAACUGAGACACGGUCCAGACUCCUACGGGAGGCAGCAGUGGGGAAUAUUGGACAAUGGGCGCAAGCCUGAUCCAGCCAUGCCGCGUGGGUGAAGGAGGCCUUCGGGUUGUAAAGCCCUUUUGUCCGGAAAGAAAAGCAUUCGGUUAAUACCCGGGUGUUCUGACGGUACCGGAAGAAUAAGCACCGGCUAACUUCGUG
This 511-nucleotide ribosomal RNA is filed under the name uncultured bacterium. RNAcentral describes it as "bacterial SSU rRNA". It matches the Rfam family "Bacterial small subunit ribosomal RNA", at positions 1 to 507 of the family's 1533-position model. The record is from RNAcentral.